UCUUAUGAUGUUGAAAUUUUUUAUGUUAUAUUUUGUUCUAGGUUUUAGAUGUGUUUCUUGCAGGGCAACACAUAAUGGCGUAUGUCUUUGAAUCAAUAGUUUCAACUCGUUUAAGUUAUUGGAUAGUCCCCGACAAUUCCAUUGGAUAAUUUUGGUAUCCAUUACAAAGAUAAGAUUAAAAGAAACAACAAUGGAAUAAAUAAUAUUAAUAAAUAACAGAUCAUAGUGUAUAAGGGACGACUACAAACAAAUAACAAUUAAUUUAAGACAGAUACAAGAGACAGAUAUAUCACAGAUUUGGUAAUUCAAUACAGAUUGUAGGUAGAUUAUCACAGUAAAUAUAUCACGUAUGGGUAUCAACACUAGAGAGAGAUUUUCCUAGGUUUGCCCUUUGGCCAUCCUUUUUUCUUCUUUUGUUGAAGAAUUUGUUUUCUCUCUAUAUCUAAGGCUUCUUCAUCUAAUAUUGGCGAAGAUGGGGUUGAACUAUCCUCAUCUCGCUUCCUCUUAUCAACAGGAUCCGCGAUUGUCACAUGACAGUCCUGGAACUUCCAUGAGGUAAUUCUAUCGGAGACGGAGAUACGGUUGGUUUCGGCAUUGAUUGUUUAACAUACUCAACUAAGAUACCAGGUUGGGUUGAGUAUCAGUGGUUAGGCGUGUAGCAACAUUUGAGUACGAGUUGUUUGAAGUAACAGCCGAUCCAAGCAUUCGUUUUGCCUCCAGAUAAGACACCUUACGGGUAACCUUUAUCUCUUGAAUUUGUAACUCUCUUUUAUACACUUCGCAAGUUCUAGAGUUUGCAGGAUGUGUACCGUUGCAAUUUAGGCAUACGACUGGAUCGUCACAUGGAGAACCCGGGUGUAAGGAUUUUCCACAGACACAUACUUGUUCCUUCUCACAUUUUAGUGUUGUGUGUCCGAAACGUUGACACUUGUAACAUCUCAUUGGUUGUGGAACAUAUGGUCUCACUUUCAACGUAUAUUAAUCACCCUGGGAAGUUGGGUGGCAUUGAAGGUAAGUAUAAGGU
Molecule: long non-coding RNA, 1024 nt
Organism: Photinus pyralis (common eastern firefly)
Lineage: Eukaryota; Metazoa; Arthropoda; Insecta; Coleoptera; Lampyridae
Exons: 3
Source: RefSeq, a predicted model, not a curated record